Molecule: ribosomal RNA, 468 nt
Filed under: uncultured bacterium
Lineage: Bacteria
Description: partial 16S ribosomal RNA
Rfam family: Bacterial small subunit ribosomal RNA
Source: RNAcentral
GACGAACGCUGGCGGCGUGCUUAACACAUGCAAGUCGAACGGAAAGGCCCUGCUCUUGUGGGGUGCUCGAGUGGCGAACGGGUGAGUAACACGUGAGUAACCUGCCCUUGACUUUGGGAUAACUUCAGGAAACUGGGGCUAAUACCGGAUAGGAGCUCCUGCUGCAUGGUGGGGGUUGGAAAGUUUCGGCGGUUGUGGAUGGACUCGCGGCUUAUCAGCUUGUUGGUGGGGUAGUGGCUUACCAAGGGUUUGACGGGUAGCCGGCCUGAGAGGGUGACCGGCCACAUUGGGACUGAGAUACGGCGCAGACGCCUACGGGAGGCAGCAGUGGGGAAUAUUGCGCAGUGGGCGGAAGCCUGAUACAGCAACGCCGCGUGCGGGAUGACGGCCUUCGGGUUGUAAACCGCUUUCGCCUGUGACGAAGCGUGAGUGACGGUAAUGGGUAAAGAAGCACCGGCUAACUACGUG